RNAcentral lists this ribosomal RNA (755 nucleotides) under uncultured bacterium. RNAcentral's name for it is "bacterial SSU rRNA". It matches the Rfam family "Bacterial small subunit ribosomal RNA", at positions 670 to 1425 of the family's 1533-position model. The record is from RNAcentral.
CAUGUGUAGCGGUGAAAUGCGUAGAUAUAUGGAGGAACACCGGUGGCGAAAGCGGCUCUCUGGUCUGUAACUGACGCUGAGGCUCGAAAGCGUGGGGAGCGAACAGGAUUAGAUACCCUGGUAGUNCACGCCGUAAACGAUGAGUGCUAGGUGUUAGGCCCUUUCCGGGGCUUAGUGCCGCAGCUAACGCAUUAAGCACUCCGCCUGGGGAGUACGACCGCAAGGUUGAAACUCAAAGGAAUUGACGGGGGCCCGCACAAGCGGUGGAGCAUGUGGUUUAAUUCGAAGCAACGCGAAGAACCCUACCAGGUCUUGACAUCCCGAUGCCCGCUCUAGAGAUAGAGUUUUACUUCGGUACAUCGGUGACAGGUGGUGCAUGGUUGUCGUCAGCUCGUGUCGUGAGAUGUUGGGUUAAGUCCCGCAACGAGCGCAACCCUUAUUGUUAGUUGCCAUCAUUCAGUUGGGCACUCUAGCGAGACUGCCGGUAAUAAACCGGAGGAAGGUGGGGAUGACGUCAAAUCAUCAUGCCCCUUAUGACCUGGGCUACACACGUGCUACAAUGGCUGGUACAACGAGUCGCAAGUCGGUGACGGCAAGCUAAUCUCUUAAAGCCAGUCUCAGUUCGGAUUGUAGGCUGCAACUCGCCUACAUGAAGUCGGAAUCGCUAGUAAUCGCGGAUCAGCACGCCGCGGUGAAUACGUUCCCGGGCCUUGUACACACCGCCCGUCACACCACGAGAGUUUGUAACACCCGAA